UAAGGAGGGGGCGAGCGUUAAUCGGAAUUACUGGGCGUAAAGCGCACGUAGGUGGUUGGGUAAGUCGGAUGUGAAAGCCCUGGUCUUAACCUGGGAACUGCAUUGGAUACUGCCCGGCUAGAGUAUGGGAGAGGGAAGCGGAAUUUCCGGUGUAGCGGUGAAAUGCGUAGAUAUCGGAAGGAACAUCAAUGGCGAAGUCAGCUUCCUGGCCCAAUACUGACGCUCAGGUGCGAAAGCGUGGUGAUCAAACAGG
RNAcentral lists this ribosomal RNA (253 nucleotides) under uncultured bacterium. RNAcentral describes it as "partial 16S ribosomal RNA". It matches the Rfam family "Bacterial small subunit ribosomal RNA", at positions 524 to 776 of the family's 1533-position model. The record is from RNAcentral.